RNAcentral lists this small nuclear RNA (92 nucleotides) under Nomascus leucogenys (northern white-cheeked gibbon). Lineage: Eukaryota; Metazoa; Chordata; Mammalia; Primates; Hylobatidae. The record is from RNAcentral.
GUGCUCACUUCAGAAGCACCUGUACUAAAAUUGGAACAAUAGAGAUGAUUAGCAUGGAUGACACACGAAUUAGUAAAGCAUUUCAUAUUCUU